This 253-nucleotide ribosomal RNA is filed under the name uncultured bacterium. RNAcentral's name for it is "partial 16S ribosomal RNA". It matches the Rfam family "Bacterial small subunit ribosomal RNA", at positions 524 to 776 of the family's 1533-position model. The record is from RNAcentral.
UACGUAGGGGGCAAGCGUUGUCCGGAUUCACUGGGCGUAAAGCGCGUGUAGGCGGCCUCUCAAGUCGGGCGUGAAAGCCCGGGGCUCAACCCCGGGAUGCCGCUCGAAACUGGGAGGCUUGAGGACGGAAGAGGGGAGUGGAAUUCCUGGUGUAGCGGUGAAAUGCGUAGAGAUCAGGAGGAACACCCGUGGCGAAGGCGGCUCCCUGGUCCGUUACUGACGCUGAGACGCGAAAGCGCGGGGAGCGAACGGG